AUGCGUCUUCAGGGCGGGGUGAAAGUCCCCACCGGCGGUAUGCCGCGCACCGGUCCUUCGGCCGGCGCGCGACGAGCCCGCGAGCGCCGAUGCGUCGUGCAAACGCCGCGUCGGGUCAGCAGAUCUGGUGCGAUGCCAGAGCCGACGGUCAUAGUCCGGAUGAGAGAAGAUGUGA
Molecule: non-coding RNA, 175 nt
Filed under: Mycetohabitans rhizoxinica
Lineage: Bacteria; Pseudomonadati; Pseudomonadota; Betaproteobacteria; Burkholderiales; Burkholderiaceae
Description: Burkholderia rhizoxinica FMN sequence
Rfam family: FMN riboswitch aptamer (RFN element)
About the family: The RFN element is a highly conserved domain that is found frequently in the 5'-untranslated regions of prokaryotic mRNAs that encode for flavin mononucleotide (FMN) biosynthesis and transport proteins. This element is a metabolite-dependent riboswitch that directly binds FMN in the absence of proteins.
Source: RNAcentral